Molecule: ribosomal RNA, 492 nt
Filed under: uncultured bacterium
Lineage: Bacteria
Description: partial 16S ribosomal RNA
Rfam family: Bacterial small subunit ribosomal RNA
Source: RNAcentral
AGUGAACGCUGGCGGUAGGCCUAACACAUGCAAGUCGAACGGCAGCACAGUAAGAGCUUGCUCUUACGGGUGGCGAGUGGCGGACGGGUGAGGAAUACAUUGGAAUCUACUUUUUCGUGGGGGAUAACGUAGGGAAACUUACGCUAAUACCGCAUACGACCUACGGGUGAAAGCAGGGGAUCUUCGGACCUUGCGCGAUUGAAUGAGCCGAUGUCGGAUUAGCUAGUUGGCGGGGUAAAGGCCCACCAAGGCGACGAUCCGUAGCUGGUCUGAGAGGAUGAUCAGCCACACUGGAACUGAGACACGGUCCAGACUCCUACGGGAGGCAGCAGUGGGGAAUAUUGGACAAUGGGCGCAAGCCUGAUCCAGCCAUACCGCGUGGGUGAAGAAGGCCUUCGGGUUGUAAAGCCCUUUUGUUGGGAAAGAAAAGCAGCAGGUUAAUACCCCGCUGUUCUGGCGGUACCCAAAGAAUAAGCACCGGCUAACUUCGUG